This 364-nucleotide unclassified non-coding RNA is filed under the name uncultured fungus. Its description in RNAcentral is "partial contains 5.8S ribosomal RNA and internal transcribed spacer 2". The stretch from base 1 to 133 matches the Rfam family "5.8S ribosomal RNA", at positions 22 to 154 of the family's 154-position model. The record is from RNAcentral. Lineage: Eukaryota; Fungi.
UGGCUCUCGCAUCGAUGAAGAACGCAGCGAAAUGCGAUAAGUAAUGUGAAUUGCAGAAUUCAGUGAAUCAUCGAAUCUUUGAACGCACCUUGCGCUCCUUGGUAUUCCGAGGAGCAUGCCUGUUUGAGUGUCAUGGAAUUCUCAACCUCUUUUGCUUUGUGUGAAGGAGGCUUGGACUUGGAGGUCGUGUUGGCUUGCAAAAGUCGACUCCUCUGAAAUAUAUUAGUGCGGACCGUACGGAUCGCUUCGGUGUGAUAAUUGUCUACGCCGUGGUGUUGAAGUAUAGCAGUGUCUGGGCUUCUAACCGUCCGCAAGGACAAUUUUCUGACAAUCUGACCUCAAAUCAGGUAGGACUACCCGCUGA